Molecule: ribosomal RNA, 493 nt
Filed under: uncultured bacterium
Lineage: Bacteria
Description: bacterial SSU rRNA
Rfam family: Bacterial small subunit ribosomal RNA
Source: RNAcentral
AAAGGAAUAGACGGGGACCCGCACAAGCGGUGGAGCAUGUGGUUUAAUUCGAAGCAACGCGAAGAACCUUACCAAGUCUUGACAUCCCACUGACCGACCAGUAACGUGGUCUUCUCUUCGGAGCAGUGGAGACAGGUGGUGCAUGGUUGUCGUCAGCUCGUGUCGUGAGAUGUUGGGUUAAGUCCCGCAACGAGCGCAACCCUUAUCUUUAGUAGCCAGCAGUAAGAUGGGCACUCUAGAGAGACUGCCGGGGAUAACCCGGAGGAAGGCGGGGAUGACGUCAAAUCAUCAUGCCCCUUAUGAUUUGGGCUACACACGUGCUACAAUGGCGUAAACAAAGAGAAGCGAAGUCGUGAGGCGAAGCAAAUCUCAAAAAUAACGUCUCAGUUCGGAUUGUAGUCUGCAACUCGACUACAUGAAGCUGGAAUCGCUAGUAAUCGCAGAUCAGAAUGCUGCGGUGAAUACGUUCCCGGGUCUUGUACACACCGCCCGU